GGCUCAAUGGUCUAGUCGUAUGAUUCCUGCUUUGGGUGUUCAGUUGAUCACGUGCAGGAGGCCCCGGGUUCAAAUCCCGGUUGAGCCC
This is a non-coding RNA of Steccherinum ochraceum, 88 nucleotides long. Lineage: Eukaryota; Fungi; Basidiomycota; Agaricomycetes; Polyporales; Steccherinaceae. The record is from the annotation of a GenBank genome assembly.